Molecule: ribosomal RNA, 460 nt
Filed under: uncultured bacterium
Lineage: Bacteria
Description: partial 16S ribosomal RNA
Rfam family: Bacterial small subunit ribosomal RNA
Source: RNAcentral
CCUACGGGGUGCAGCAGUGAGGAAUAUUGGUCAAUGGGCGCGAGCCUGAACCAGCCAAGUAGCGUGAAGGAUGACUGCCCUACGGGUUGUAAACUUCUUUUAUCAAGGAAUAACGUGAGGCCCGUGUGCCUUUUUGUAUGUACUUUAUUAAUAAGGCUCGGCUAACUCCGUGCCAGCAGCCGCGGUAAUACGGAGGAGCCGAGCGUUAUCCGGAUUUAUUGGGUUUAAAGGGAGCGUAGAUGGGUUGGUAAGUCAGUUGUGAAAGUUUGCGGCUCAACCGUAAAAUGGCAAUUGAUACUGGCAGUCUGGAGUACAGUUGAGGUAGGCGGAAUUCGUGGUGUAGCGGUGAAAUGCUUAGAUAUCACGAAGAACUCCGAUUGCGAAGGCAGCGUACUAAACUGCCACUGACAUUGACGCUCGAAAGUGUGGGUAUCAAACAGGAUUAGAUACCCUUGUAGUC